UUAAAGUCUAUGAAAGAGAGAGUAGGCAGUAUUGGUAUGAAGAGAGGGAAAGGUUGGUGAAAUUUCCUUACUGAUAGUGUUGAAGUUCACUCUGGAGAUUCAUCUUUGAACAAAAGUAGGAGAUGACGUUCACCGCGUUAAGGUUUCAAGUGAUUCGCAAUAGCGAUUAAUUUGGGUGGUACCGCGGAGAUAGCUUCGUCCCAUUA
RNAcentral lists this non-coding RNA (206 nucleotides) under Clostridiales bacterium. Its description in RNAcentral is "T-box sequence". It matches the Rfam family "T-box leader". Rfam says of the family: Uncharged tRNA acts as the effector for transcription antitermination of genes in the T-box leader family. T-boxes are found upstream of many aminoacyl-tRNA synthetase genes and some amino acid biosynthetic genes usually in Gram-positive bacteria. Lineage: Bacteria; Bacillati; Bacillota; Clostridia; Eubacteriales. The record is from RNAcentral.